RNAcentral lists this ribosomal RNA (247 nucleotides) under uncultured bacterium. Its description in RNAcentral is "partial 16S ribosomal RNA". It matches the Rfam family "Bacterial small subunit ribosomal RNA", at positions 524 to 776 of the family's 1533-position model. The record is from RNAcentral.
UACGAAGGGAGUUAGCGUUAUUCAUAAUGAUUGGGCGUAAAGGGUUCGUAGAUUGACAAUUUAAUCUUUGGUGAAAUCUUAAGUAAAUUAAAGUGCCUUAGAUAUUAGUUGUCUGGAGUGAAUUAGAGGAUAACAGAAUUCUGUACAUGAGGAGUAAAUCUGCUGACCUACAGAGGAAUGCCAGAGGCGAAGGCGGUUAUCUGGGAUAUCACUGACAUUGAGGACGAAAGCGUGGGGAGCAAACAGG